GUCCUACAGCAAAGCAACCUCCUUGAAACGUGUGACUUGAUUAUCCCAUGAGUCCACCGGGCUUCUCAAACUUGACAUGUCCACACAGCACUUCUGACCUUCUGUCCCUACAAACCAACUCCUGUCACAGGCUUGCCUCAUCUCAAUACACAUCCACUCCAUUCAUCUAGUUCUCGGGACUCAUCCUAAAUACAUGACCAUCAUAGCGGAGAGUGGAAGGAGAGGGCAGGUGUUGCAAGUGUGACUGGUCACCAGGAAGUCUUCGCUGAAUGAAUGCUCCUGCCGCCGUGUUCUUCACAUCAGGAAACUAAGUCAGAGCAGAGCUGUCCCCAAGGGAGGUGCUGAAGCACAGUGACUCGCCAAGCUUCAGGGAAGGCCAGACGUGGGUCUCAUCCUCAGCUGGGAGGGGCCCCCGACGUCAUCUAAUACAGCCCCGUUUUCUCAGGGUCGAGAACCGGGGCCCACAGGAGGUUUACCUGAGGUCACCCCAGAGGCAGGACUGGAACCCAGCUCCCCUAGGACCAAAAACAGAAUUUUCUCCAUGGCUCACCCACUGGCAUCCUGGUCUGAAAGGAGUGGAGGGGAAGACAGAGGCUGGAACGCAGGGGUGUGGCCCCCGAGACAUAUAGCCUCUUUCUGAGGUCACUCGAUCAAGGCCUUUCCUCCUGCUUAAACCAAUAUCUCUGGCAGGCCCCCCUUGGGAAUGCCAUUUCGUGUUGGCAAAAGCUGCCAAUCCAGAUGCUUCUUCUAGCUUCCUGUGACAUUCGAGGAAACUGGAGCUGUGUAUGUCAAACAGAAGAAAGUGAUUCAGAGAAAGAAACACAGACACCAGAGGUGAACGGGAUGAGAGCACGGUUCACAAAGAAGCACUAACUGUGGGCCUUCCAUCUGCCAGUCUGUCCAAGAUUACGUACCCUGAGGGCUACAGUCUGAAAUGUUCUGGUCUGUUUCCACUUAUCCAGUCCCACUAGGAGACAGACUUCCUCUGGAGUCUUGCCUGUGAACAGCAUCAGCCCCAGGUAUAGAGAGCCGCAAGGCAAACUUUGCAUAAGGUUCCAUGGGUAUUUGUUGAAUAAAUUCAUAACAAUGGGAAGUCAUUUAAAGGUUCUAAACACAGAGGUGACAGUAUCAUGUUUGUCUUUCAGAAAGAUCAAGAGAGUGACAUGUACAAGCAAUGUUUGGGCUGAGUCAAGGAUGGUACAGGAGGGGCUGGAAAAUGGAGCAUGUGAAGAACAUUCCAAGCCAAGAAGGAGUAUGAGGGUCCGAUGAGGGGAAUAAGCAAGAUGCAGAUCAACUUCAUUUAUUCAUUCAUCCACUCACUCAACCCAUAUUCUCUUCCCUUGGAAGUGGUAGUGAGGGUAGGAGAAGGUGCAAAUGAUAAAAACUCAAUAGAUAAUGCCAUGCCAAACCCUUUUGUCCACAUUAUGGCUUCUCCAAGACUGCCUGGGGAGUCGAUGUGAAACCUGGGUUGCAUUCUUCCUGCGCCCAGCACAGCUGUGCUUCACCAACCACUCCUGGAGAGAAGGACCCAAAAGCAGAAACAUAACGGGUCCAGUAACCCCUGAACUGGACAGACAGACAGCAAUAAUGGAGGGC
Bos taurus (domestic cattle) is the source of this 1596-nucleotide long non-coding RNA. NCBI's taxonomy places the organism in Eukaryota, Metazoa, Chordata, Mammalia, Artiodactyla, Bovidae. The record is from Ensembl.